Molecule: long non-coding RNA, 287 nt
Filed under: Pongo abelii (Sumatran orangutan)
Lineage: Eukaryota; Metazoa; Chordata; Mammalia; Primates; Hominidae
Description: lncRNA (ENSPPYG00000035827.1)
Source: RNAcentral
CUUCCCUCCCCCAAGCUGCCCUGUCGGCCCUCCUGCACCCCAGCCUCUGUCUGCACUGGCCCUGCCGGCUCUAGUGAAUGAGGCCCUGGGAAGCUGAGAACAGACCUCCCGCUGAAGGAGCCCUCCCCACAGAGGGCAGAGUGCAGAAAACAGCAGCCUUGAGAGCCCCAGGAGAGGCAGACGUGGGUUCCCGCUGUGAUGCCACUGAGGACUGUUCUCGAAGAGGGUGACUACUGGGGAGCGAGACAGGGAUUUCCGGAAGGUUCUUUGUCUCUGACUGUGGGAGG